CUUCCUGCUGGAGCAGGAGCACCACUCAUCAUUUCUCAGGUGUCUUCCCAUCCGCCAGCUAUCCACCCUCCUGGGAAAGGAUGUAAGAGCAUAAAGGGCUGGAGCAAUUAACCAUAGCUCUGGAGAACCAAAACCACCAUGGGUUUCUGUGGCUGUCUCCCUGUUCUGUAAGAACAAGGAAGGAUGAAUCAGGAAGCAGGACAGCCUCCUCAAUCAUGGGAUGGGGAGACACCAGAUGGAAACAGACCAGUGGAGAGGUGACCUGGAGGGACAGAGAGCUGAAUCCAUGAAAGCCAGGAAGCUCUGCCUGGCUUCCAACAGGAACUUGGAGAACAUCAAGGAACAAGAUGUUCCUGCAAGUCCUGUCAUAUUUCUCCACAGAGGCUGACCUGGGCCCUUUGCUCAGACCUACCAGCUCUGCCUCAUUGUUCUUUGUGUAGGUGAGUUGAGUUGCUCAGGAGUCCAGUAUGUGGGAUGUUCUUUCAGUGAGUUUCAUAGAAAGGAGCACAAGCCAGGGCUGUCCUGCCCUGAUUAUGAGCAGAGAGCUUUAUUAUGGAUGUUACAAAGACUGGGGAAAUAUGGCCAUAGGUCAGGAAAGGUUGGGUGAGUAUACAGCAGAAAAGGGCAAGCUCAAGACAGUUUGCACGGACUGCCACAGUUAUUUUGAGAUUUGGAGCAGGAAGAGCAGAAAGAUGGAUAAAGAACUUGGGGAAGAUGAGCCUGGGCCAGCUGCAGGGCAUCCCAGCAGGGAGGUUAGAAGAGCAGCAGAGGGAUCUUAUGGUAGGUAAUCUUUCAAACAGUGCAAAAUCUUUAGAAACAAUACAACAGUCGCUUUAUAUGAGGUGAUGUAUCUGGUUCUUUAGCCCUGGUGUUUACAUCUGGCCCUAAAACUCAAACUACUGCACAGUCUGAUGCUGAUGGCUUUAGGUGUCUUGAAAAUCUCAUAUAUCUUCUGCAGUAUAAUUGGUCUAAAACAUGUUUUCCUUGUUUUUCUGGCGCCAGCACCAGUCACAGCUCCAAGUUUUGUAACCUGCUUGUUUACACUGUUUCAAGCAAAUCAGAGUCAAGCCUCUGGAUGUUGUGGUGCCUUUCACCACAUUCUUCUUUCAGUCUUUUUUUUCCUGCCUUUCCCACCCCAUCCAUGACAGGGGAAGCACUGUUCUUUCCGUGCUCCUUGGUUCUGUGUUCGAAGCAGUCACAGAAAAAGUGACAAUUAGGAAAGAAAGAACCUUCAGUAUCUGCUUUGGCAGGCACAACACAUCCCACUGCUGGGCUGCAGCAAGGCAAAGCAGCUGCUUGCCUGGGUCAGAUGGAGAUUUCGCUGCCUUGUAUUGUUGGAUCUCCCCAGAGAGCCUGGUGCUCUGCCACGCUGCAGAGGCAGUGAAACCCCAACAUUGAAGUCAAGCCAUGCACGUUUAUAGCAGUCCUGCAAGGAGCAGGGAGUUGGACUUGUUGAUCCUUGUUAUUUUUCACUUUUAGGGUGCCGAGGCCCUGGCACAGGGUGCCCAGAGAAGCUCUGGCUGCCCCUGGAUCUCUGGAAGUGGCCAAGGCCAAGCUGGACAGAACUUGGAGGAACCUGGGAUGGUGGAAGGUGUCCCUGCCCUUGGCAGGGGGUUGGAACACAAAGAUCUUUGAGGUCUUUCCCAAAACCAUCUAGGAUCCUUCUGGGACCCUUCCAACCUGAGAUAUUCUAUGAUUUCAGGAUGCUCAACUGCAAUUCAGGAAACAAUAGUGAUUAGAAGCAAAUAAUGAGGUUAGGUGAGUUAAUAUUUGGGAGAUCAAGUAACCUGGGGCAAGGUAACAGACAUCAACUUCGUCCUUCCCACAUUAUUGUGCUCUCUAAAAAUGAUUUAAAGGUUGCUAAGCAAUGUCAAUGUUUUUCCCCCAAAACGGAAGGAGCAGAGCAGAAGUGAACGAGUUCACUGCAGUAGAACUGAACUUAUAUAAAAUCUAAAUAUAUAUGUAUAUAUAAAUAUAUAUAAACAUUGCUGCUGAAUAUUUCUGUUUCUUAAAGGCAGCUGAAAAAUCUAAUGAAAGCCAAGAUCCUUAUUUCAUGUCAUUUGAAGUCUUCUGGAUCAGCCAAGGUGGACCUGCAACCCCUUCUCCAGGUCUUGCCUGGCCCUGGUUCAGUGUCCAAGGCUGUUUCUAAAUGCUGCAUGAAGCCCCAUUUUCUUCCUUUUUCAGUCUGUGGAAAAUGAACCAAAAUCUCCAGCCCAGAUGAUAAAAAAGAAAAUCUUAUCAAAGCACAACUUUAUGAAGGGCAAGGCAGACAAAGAGAGUGGGAAGAAAGAGAAGAUAAUGUCCUAAGUCAUUAAACAAGCCUUAUUUUCUCACACCAUUGGUUCUCCCUCCUCAUUUUUACGAGGCAGCAACCAGCCCCUUGCUGUCAACACAUCACCUCUGUGUUUGGUGGGUGAAAAGGGGAGGGGUCUGGCUCUGAAGGUCCCUCUGGAGCUGUCUGCUAGUCCCUUCUGUGCCUGCUGGUCACCUCUCUCAUUUCCUCAAGACCUCGUUUCCUCUGGUGUCUCCAGAGCACCACAAGUCUAGAGAGGACUUAAAAUCACCAUUUUCAUUUUCAUACCACGAAAGGGAGAAUCUCCCAAGCAGAUUUUUGGGACCAUAGAAGUGUGGGAGUGACACAACAAAACAGCAGAUGCCAGAGGAUAAGAGAUGAGGACUUAAAAUCAUCCUGUUACGUCUCACAAGGACAGCAAAAGGAGACUGAGGUGCUCAGCAGAAAACUCCCAGUAGGACAGGAGCCAUCAGCACUUACUGGAGGUUUCACCUGCCUCCCCCAGGUGAGGAGCAGGCAGCACUGGAGACAUGGAAUCAUGUGGAGCUGGUGCUGCCAGCUCCCUGCAGCUCAUCCCUGCAUUUCACCCCUCCAGAUUUCCUAGUAUUUGUUCUCCUGUUCUGGGAAGAGUCGAGAGCUGCAAGAGGCCCAGCUCACAGGGAUGUUUAGAGAAAGGAAAGACCAUUGUGUGAAAGACUUUGGCAUUUCAGGGUUUGUUUUCCUUCUGACACAGAACAAAACACCAUGUCAAAAUCCUCAGCAGGGCAAAACACAACAACAACAACAACAACAACAACAACAACAACAACAACAACAAACCAACCACCAAAAAAACCAAACCAAACAAACCAAAAAUAUCAAGUAGUGACAUUUGGAAUGUGGCCUGUGGAAGUGUUUCUCUUCAUCUUUAAGCUUUUCGAUCUCAAGAUCUACUGUUGUAGCUAUUUCAGGAAAAUUUUAAAAAAGGGGGAAAAAGAAAGAAAUAAAAGGAAAUAAAAGCCACACUA
This is a non-coding RNA of Taeniopygia guttata (zebra finch), 3300 nucleotides long. NCBI's taxonomy places the organism in Eukaryota, Metazoa, Chordata, Aves, Passeriformes, Estrildidae. The record is from RefSeq and is a predicted model, not a curated record.